This is a long non-coding RNA of Erinaceus europaeus (western European hedgehog), 1170 nucleotides long. RefSeq lists it as uncharacterized. The transcript has 3 exons. NCBI's taxonomy places the organism in Eukaryota, Metazoa, Chordata, Mammalia, Eulipotyphla, Erinaceidae. The record is from RefSeq and is a predicted model, not a curated record.
UACGCAUGCUCACUACCCCCUCUCCCGCUGGCGCCCUGAGGGAUUUAAAUAAUCCUCAAAUCCGUUACUCCACCUACCUGGCUGUUCUGUGGCCAAAGAUGGUUGAGAUAGUGAGAACCUUGCUUCAGGGGGAGAACUGAGUGGAGAAUUGACAAACCACCAUGGCAAGCAACAUCCUCACUGAUAGUUUGCAACCUACACAUCACAUUUGCUGAUUUGCUGGUAGAGCAAUACUCUUCUACUCUUCCAGUGAAAAUUCUCAAGCUCAUUGGAGUUGUGAAAUGUGCAUGUAUAUCAUCACACAUAUAUCCCACUGGCCAAUACAGGAAAAGAUCAGAAAGCUCCCCCUUAGAGGUUUCGGGAUUUCAGAAUUUGCAAAAGAAGACUUGCUUUUUUUUUUUUUUGAGGCUCCAACAGAAGAAGAAAUCAAUCGGUGUUUUCAGAAAUUUCCUCUUCACAGAAGAUGAAAUUGUCCCAAAAGCAAGUUGUCACGUGAUAUCUUCAAAGCACAGCUUCACAAGUCCCUGAGUCUCUCUCCUGCGACGCUAGCCCAACAUGAGUUCCUGAUCCGUCUCCCACGCAGCAGCCUAGGUUGGCUCCAGUCGAGUUCUCUCCAACCCAGAGAGCACGUGCUCGGGAAGAAGCACCCUCAGGCUGUCCUGGCAGGUCAGAGAAGGUGAUACUCUGCUAUUGCUCGUUGACCAGGGUGCGUGAAAUGCAGCUGCUGCUACUCUGUAGCCCUGCCUCUGGAAGUCUCUUGAGAACUUUUUUUAAGUGGGGCCUGGAAGUAAAAUGGAUAGAAGGAAAUUUUUUAGUAGGCUUUCCUAGAUCAACUCAAAGCAGAUUGUGGAAACAGUGACCAUCCUCCUUGUUCUCUCAAUUUUCUUUCCACUACUGAAAAUGCAGGUUAUCACAAAUUUUGCACACAAUCAAUCUUGAGAACAUUAUUGAGAACACUGUGGUGAUAAGAAUGACCAGUAUUUUAAAACAUAGCAUUUCUUUUUUUCUGAAGGAAUUAUUUAGAAAAGAAGGUGAACAGCUUGAGUUACAGAUGGUACCCUAAUUUACUGUACUUGACAAUCUCAAAAUUAAUUUACAAAAUGUAAAAUGUCAUUUUUUAUGUAUUACAUUAAUUAGUAGAAGAAACUAAGGCACAUAGAAAUGUAUUGC